GACGAACGCUGGCGGCGUGCUUAACACAUGCAAGUCGAACGGAAAGGCCCUGCUUUUGUGGGGUGCUCGAGUGGCGAACGGGUGAGUAACACGUGAGUAACCUGCCCUUGACUUUGGGAUAACUUCAGGAAACUGGGGCUAAUACCGGAUAGGAGCUCCUGCUGCAUGGUGGGGGUUGGAAAGUUUCGGCGGUUGGGGAUGGACUCGCGGCUUAUCAGCUUGUUGGUGGGGUAGUGGCUUACCAAGGCUUUGACGGGUAGCCGGCCUGAGAGGGUGGCCGGCCACAUUGGGACUGAGAUACGGCCCAGACUCCUACGGGAGGCAACAGUGGGGAACAUUGCACAAUGGGCGGAAGCCUGAUGCAGCAACGCCGCGUGCGGGAUGACGGCCUUCGGGUUGUAAACCGCUUUCGCCUGUGACGAAGCGUGAGUGACGGUAAUGGGUAAAGAAGCACCGGCUAACUACGUG
This 468-nucleotide ribosomal RNA is filed under the name uncultured bacterium. Its description in RNAcentral is "partial 16S ribosomal RNA". It matches the Rfam family "Bacterial small subunit ribosomal RNA", at positions 28 to 507 of the family's 1533-position model. The record is from RNAcentral.